AAAAAAAAAAAAAAGAGGAAUAGUUGUUGCUCUCAUUUGGCUUAACAUAAUAAAUGAGGUAAUGGACUAUUAUCGUUGUUUAAUGGUAAAUAAUAGCCUUUACCGUUAAGUAACUGGUGUAACAGCCGUUAUGGUAACAAAUUUUCUUAUGCUUUUAAAUAAAGGGGGUCACAGUAGCGGGAGGGCACAAGCCUAUAAAUAACGGCCGUUACGUAAUGUA
This 220-nucleotide unclassified non-coding RNA is filed under the name Hevea brasiliensis (rubber tree). The record is from RNAcentral. Lineage: Eukaryota; Viridiplantae; Streptophyta; Magnoliopsida; Malpighiales; Euphorbiaceae.